Long non-coding RNA from Ictalurus punctatus (channel catfish), 1317 nucleotides. RefSeq lists it as uncharacterized. NCBI's taxonomy places the organism in Eukaryota, Metazoa, Chordata, Actinopteri, Siluriformes, Ictaluridae. The transcript is spliced from 3 exons. The record is from RefSeq and is a predicted model, not a curated record.
CCGAGAAAGAGAUGAGUGAGUGAAUGGAAAUUUGAAAGAGGAAAAGAAAGAGUUUUUUCCCCCCUCAGAAAGACUCUUUCUUAUGAAAAAUCCGACGCGCUCUGUCACCUGCAUGGAAGGGAAUGCAAAUGAAUCAGGGGUUAAUUAGAAAAGAGGCUUCAUUUCCUCAGACUUCUCAGUCAUGAAUUUCCACAGGGACUAAGCCAGGCUGCGGCAGACCUUUUACAAAAUCUGGAGGUAAACACGAGAUGAUAUUUAAACCCCCUCGAAAGUAAUGAAAGCUCGUAUUAAUCUAUUCAUUCUAUUCACUGCAGUCUCGUGUCCAAUCUCUAUUAAUAAACUCACAGGCAGCCGUGUCGAAUUGGAGGGCUUGGAUAAGAAUGAAUUUGAGUUAGAGCUCACGACAUGCGCUCUUCUUCCCCAUUGCUGCCCAGUAUCAGUCCUGGGGUUUAAAUCUUUCGAAGUAGUGAUGGAAGCAGAUACCGGUUUAUUUCUCAUCUUACAAACAGCAGUUUCAUGUGUUACAAGCACUUAAAAGAAGCAAUGUAUAGAGGGCUGUUAUGAAUACUAGCAUGCUGUGAAAGCUAAGCGCUACCACUGCUAUCUAUCUGAGGACCUUCCGAUUCUGCCAUGUUUUAUGCUCUUCCUCAGUGGCCCUGAAGUACAAGAAUGUUAAGAGGAUCACUAUGUCACUGUCACUAUGGUCAAUGGACAAGGCAAUGUCGAAACACUUUAUACCUGUUGUUUUUAGUCAAAUGUUACCCAAAAUGCUUAAUAAGCCAUAAGUAAUGGCUAAGUCCAUUAUGUAAUAAUUCCAGUGUUUAAUAAUUCUGUUUUUGUGCAUAUCUGAUACUAAUUUUACUUAGAAAUGAAAAACUCUAAGAUAUGUUGUUUUUGUUUUUGUGUGUGUGUGUAUGUGUCGUGGUUAAUACAUCACCCUUAUUAACUACGUGGCCAAUGAGCUAUCUUCAUACCACACUAUAUAAGUGGUUGUUUAUGCCUCACGAAAUGCGACAUGGUCGAAAACCCGCCCCUUCCUUUGGUUGCUAUGGACUACAGAGGAGCUGAGUGCUUCCUGAGACUGGGGGAGUUCUUUGCUGCACUUUAGGCUUUUACUUAACCAAGGCUGGUGCUGUCGUACUAGCCUGCCCUUCAUACAGGAAGCCUCAGUCCUCCUAUGAUUAUUGUUAAUUUCCUCUUGUGACUGUUUUAUUUGACCAAUGCCUGACUGUGUUGGCUGCUUUUUAUUUAUUUAUUUUUUUAAAUAGUUCUUGGCCAGUGUUUAACUUUUAAAUAAAAUAAACUUUUGUAUGGAAA